AGGGUUUGAUCCUGGCUCAGAAUGAACGUUGGCGGCGUGGAUUAGGCAUGCAAGUCGAGCGCGAUACUUUUGAUUGAGUCUUCGGACAAUUUUAGAAGUGGAAAGCGGCGAAAGGGAGAGUAACGCGUAGAUACGUACCUAGAGGUCUGGGAUAGCCACGGGAAACUGUGGGUAAUACCGGAUAAUGUCUCCGGACCAAAGAUUUAUCGCCUUUAGAUCGGUUUGCGUACUAUUAGCUAGUUGGCGGGUAAUGGCCCACCAAGGCAAAGAUGGUUAGCGGGUGUGAGAGCAUGGCCCGUCUCACUGGGACUGAGACACUGCCCAGACACCUACGGGUGGCUGCAGUCGAGAAUCUUCCGCAAUGGGCGAAAGCCUGACGGAGCGACGCCGCGUGCGGGAUGAAGGCCCUCGGGUUGUAAACCGCUGUCAGAGGGGAGGAAAAUUUGACCGAUCCUCAGAGGAAGCACAGGCUAAGUUCGUGCCAGCAGCCGCGGUAACACGAACUGUGCAAACGUUAUUCGGAAUCACUGGGCUUAAAGAGUUCGUAGGCGGCCAUGCAAGUCAGAUGCGAAAUCCCACAGCUCAACUGUGGAACUGCGUUUGAAACUGCAUGGCUUGAGGGAGACAGAGGUAAGCGGAACUGAUGGUGGAGCGGUGAAAUGCGUUGAUAUCAUCAGGAACACCGGUGGCGAAAGCGGCUUACUGGGUCUUUUCUGACGCUGAGGAACGAAAGCUAGGGGAGCGAACGGGAUUAGAUACCCCGGUAGUCCUAGCUGUAAACGAUGAGCACUAGUCCGAGGACCCUUCCACAAGUUCUCGGACGUAGCGAAAGUGUUAAGUGCCCCGCCUGGGGAGUAUGUCCGCAGGGAUGAAACUCAAAGGAAUUGACGGGGGCUCACACAAGCGGUGGAGGAUGUGGCUUAAUUCGAGGCUACGCGAAGAACCUUACCCAGAUUUAACAUGUUUAAGAAUUCCUGUGAAAGCAGGAAGUGCCCUUCGGGGAGCUUUUACGUAGGUGCUGCAUGGCUGUCGUCAGCUCGUGUCGUGAGAUGUCGGGUUAAGUCCCUUAACGAGCGAAACCCUUAUCAUUAGUUGCCAGCGGGUUAUGCCGGGGACUCUAGUGAGACUGCCGGUGUUAAACCGGAGGAAGGUGGGGAUGACGUCAAGUCCUCAUGGCCUUUAUAUCUGGGGCUGCACACGUCCUACAAUGCAACGCACAAAGGGAGGCUAACUCGCGAGAGUACGCAAAUCCCAAAAAACGUUGCUCAGUUCGGAUUGCAGGCUGAAAUUCGCCUGCAUGAAGCUGGAAUCGCUAGUAAUCGUAGGUCAGCAUACUACGGUGAAUGUGUUCCUGAGCCUUGUACACACCGCCCGUCAAGCCACGAAAGUUGGGGGGGCCCGAAGUCGCGAUUCCAACCGCAAGGAGGAUAGCGCCGAAGGUCAACUCGAUGAUUGGGACUAAGUCGUAACAAGGUA
RNAcentral lists this ribosomal RNA (1476 nucleotides) under metagenome. RNAcentral's name for it is "bacterial SSU rRNA". It matches the Rfam family "Bacterial small subunit ribosomal RNA". The record is from RNAcentral.